CUCUGCAGAUAGGGUGCAAAAUCAGGCACCGUGGUCUUUAUAAAACAGUGAGCAAUGCCAGUUUGCAAGUGUUUCAUAGGAAAAGCGUAACACAAUGGAAAGCGCUAACCAAAACAUCCUCCCUCAUGAAAUGAAAUUUCAUCAGACCAGUAUGUGUCUGUGCCUCCGCUGCAAACACUGCUUUGAAGUGCUCUGACCCUGAGCAGCACCUGUAAACACGGAUGGCAAACUGCACCCAUCAUCACACAUGAAGGCAAUAACCCCACUGACACAAACGGGUAGUAAAGGCUGGAUACACCAGUCUGUCCUCGGCUCCAAAUCCAACGCAGAGCUGCGAGAGCAGAGACACACAAGCAACAAGCGCCAGUAGUCAACUUCUGCAGGAAGAGUAUGUGCCUUCGCCUCACAGCUGUUUUCCAGCCCAGCCCAAACUUCCACUGCCUGGGAAGCGGGACUGUGGUAGCAGCAUCCAGCAGCUGCCCCCAUCAGUGAGAACGGCCAAGAUACGGAUCGGGACACCCUGCCCGCUGAUCUCUCCCGCCAUCGCGGGACCACCACCCUGCUGGAAAAUAAAAAGGAAGAGGACGACGCAAAGAUGCGCCCUCGGAAGAGCUGCGAGGUCCGUGGGGGACGUGGAAGGAUGAAUGGACAGAUAAGGGGAUGGAUGGCGAGGUAUGCAGGUUACAGUGACCCAGACUGAUGAAAUCACAGCAUGUUAUCAUACUCCAUCAUGCAGUGGCCUGAAGAGGAAAUCAGAAACUCAUGAAACUCUAUUAAACUCUCCGCCUCUGUUUUCUCAGCUAUACAAUAAACUUAUUAAGCCUACUACUUAUAUAAGAGCUUGAUGCUGUUCAAAUGCAUAUUAGCUUCUCUCCUCCUAACCCAGCUUCUGCACCUGAGUCAGAAAGAGCGGCCUUUGGAAAAAAAACCCUGGAAAAAGUUCCUUUUUCCCCAUGAAAUGACAGGAGACAAUAUUGUGUAGCAAUGAGACUUAAGUACUACUACG
RNAcentral lists this long non-coding RNA (1006 nucleotides) under Amazona collaria (yellow-billed parrot). Its description in RNAcentral is "lncRNA (ENSACOG00000000044.1)". The record is from RNAcentral. Lineage: Eukaryota; Metazoa; Chordata; Aves; Psittaciformes; Psittacidae.